RNAcentral lists this transfer RNA (72 nucleotides) under Candidatus Pacearchaeota archaeon. RNAcentral's name for it is "tRNA-Gly". It matches the Rfam family "tRNA". From Rfam's summary of the family: Transfer RNA (tRNA) molecules are approximately 80 nucleotides in length. Their secondary structure includes four short double-helical elements and three loops (D, anti-codon, and T loops). Lineage: Archaea; Nanobdellati. The record is from RNAcentral.
GCGCCGGUGGUCUAGUGGUUAAGAUUCGAGCUUCCCAAGCUCGUGACCCGGGUUCAAUUCCCGGCCGGCGCA